AGAACGAACGCUGGCGGCAGGCUUAACACAUGCAAGUCGAGCGCCUCGCAAGAGGAGCGGCAGACGGGUGAGUAACGCGUGGGCGACCUGCCUUCGAGUGGGGGAUAACCUUCCGAAAGGAGGGCUAAUACCGCAUGACAUACCGCGUUUGGAUACGCGGAUAUCAAAGCCGGGGAUCGCAAGACCUGGCGCUUGAAGAGGGGCCUACGUCCGAUUAGCUAGUUGGUGGGGUAACGGCUCACCAAGGCGACGAUCGGUA
Molecule: ribosomal RNA, 259 nt
Filed under: uncultured soil bacterium
Lineage: Bacteria
Description: partial 16S ribosomal RNA
Rfam family: Bacterial small subunit ribosomal RNA
Source: RNAcentral